AAGUCGUAACAAGGUUUCCGUAGGUGAACCUGCGGAAGGAUCAUUAAUAAAGGUUUCCAAAACACACAACUUAUGUCAACUGUUAUCAAAACCUGGUGAUGUUCCGUGGCGACUUCUACACUGUAUUUGUCGCUCGGGCUCAUCCUUUUUAAUCUUGCUUGCAUAUAAAAUCUGAGCCUUUAUUUAAAUAUAAAGACAACUUUUAGCAACGGAUCUCUAGGCUCUU
RNAcentral lists this unclassified non-coding RNA (226 nucleotides) under fungal sp. RNAcentral describes it as "partial internal transcribed spacer region". The stretch from base 1 to 46 matches the Rfam family "Eukaryotic small subunit ribosomal RNA", at positions 1786 to 1831 of the family's 1831-position model. The record is from RNAcentral. Lineage: Eukaryota; Fungi.